GCUUGAAUCCGAAAUUUUUGGUUCUUUGGUUCUAGGUCGCUGUUAAAUGUUGUGUUUAAGCAGUGUUCACAUCUUUCUUCAUGCGGUUGCACCAAUAUCAAAUACUUCGGUAUGAAUAAAUCCGUUGGUCUUACCUCGCUCGCCGAGAAAAGCGAAGAAAAUUCGUAUGCGGAAAAAAUAGCGAUCGUACACGUUCUACUGUGAAUAACCAUCGUACCGGGACCUUCCCGAAAUUGGAUUACUGAAAUUGGAGCAUACAGCCGAGCGUAAUAAUCCUGUUUGUAUCUAUCAAGAACCAUUAUCUCACAUCUUUAUGCGAAGCGGACCAUCUACGAAUGGUGCGCCAUUCUAUCGUACGAGAAUGAGGGCGUCUAUGUUUGAGUCAGGGCGCGGACUUGCCUAUUUACAUUCUAGAAUUCUAUCCAGACCGUCGGGAACAAAUUUUACGACGAAGCUCAUUUGAUUCUAAAGCGACGAAAUGUGAUGGUCGCGAUCUUGAAUGAGACUGUGAGCUACUACCUACUUUUACAAUCUUUUGUUUGAUUUUUGUAUCCGUAUUCUACAUCAUUACUAUUAGAACAUUAAAAAACUCUCGAUCGAUAAA
Long non-coding RNA from Malaya genurostris, 604 nucleotides. RefSeq lists it as uncharacterized. The record is from RefSeq and is a predicted model, not a curated record. Lineage: Eukaryota; Metazoa; Arthropoda; Insecta; Diptera; Culicidae. The transcript has 2 exons.